UGUUCUGUGGCUUAGUUGGUUAAAGCACUAGUCUAGCGAAUAUGGGGUCAUGGGUUCGAAUCCUACCAGAACGC
Aedes albopictus (Asian tiger mosquito) is the source of this 74-nucleotide non-coding RNA. NCBI's taxonomy places the organism in Eukaryota, Metazoa, Arthropoda, Insecta, Diptera, Culicidae. The record is from Rfam.